GACGAACGCUGGCGGCGUGCGUAACACAUGCAAGUCGAGCGGGCCGGUUGGGCGGGGGAAACCCUUGUCGAGCCGGUUGAGCGGCGGACGGGUGAGUAACGCGUGGAUAACCUACCCGCAGGACCGGGAUAACACCGGGAAACUGGUGCUAAUACCGGAUAAGCUGCUCCUGGGGCAUCCUGGGGGCAGGAAAGGUGGCCUCUGGGGAACCAAGCUACCGCUUGCUGAUGGGUCCGCGUCCUAUCAGCUUGUUGGUGGGGUAACGGCCUACCAAGGCGACGACGGGUAGCCGGCCUGAGAGGGUGUCCGGCCACACUGGGACUGAGACACGGCCCAGACUCCUACGGGAGGCAGCAGUGGGGAAUCUUCCGCAAUGGGCGCAAGCCUGACGGAGCGACGCCGCGUGGGGGAAGAAGGCCUUUGGGUUGUAAACCCCUGUCAGGAGGGAAGAAGUUCCGCGGGCGAAGAGCCUGCGGGGUGACGGUACCUCUAGAGGAAGCCCCGGCUAACUACGUGCCAGCAGCCGCGGUAAGACGUAGGGGGCGAGCGUUGUCCGGAAUUACUGGGCGUAAAGGGCGCGUAGGCGGUGGGACAAGUCCAAGGUGAAAGCCGGCGGCUCAACCGCAGGAUGGCCUUGGAGACUGUUCUGCUGAGAGGGCAGGAGAGGGAAGUGGAAUUCCCGGUGUAGCGGUGAAAUGCGUAGAGAUCGGGAGGAACACCAGUGGCGAAAGCGGCUUCCUGGCCUGGCCCUGACGCUGAGGCGCGAAAGCUAGGGGAGCAAACA
RNAcentral lists this ribosomal RNA (784 nucleotides) under uncultured Bacillota bacterium. RNAcentral's name for it is "bacterial SSU rRNA". It matches the Rfam family "Bacterial small subunit ribosomal RNA", at positions 28 to 774 of the family's 1533-position model. Lineage: Bacteria; Bacillati; Bacillota. The record is from RNAcentral.